Molecule: transfer RNA, 78 nt
Filed under: Thermoanaerobacteraceae bacterium
Lineage: Bacteria; Bacillati; Bacillota; Clostridia; Thermoanaerobacterales; Thermoanaerobacteraceae
Description: tRNA-Ile
Rfam family: tRNA
About the family: Transfer RNA (tRNA) molecules are approximately 80 nucleotides in length. Their secondary structure includes four short double-helical elements and three loops (D, anti-codon, and T loops).
Source: RNAcentral
AGGGAUAUAGCUCAGGUGGUAUAGAGUUUUCGGCUGAUAACCGAAAGGUCGUGAGUUCAAGUCUCACUAUCCCUACCA